Molecule: ribosomal RNA, 253 nt
Filed under: uncultured bacterium
Lineage: Bacteria
Description: partial 16S ribosomal RNA
Rfam family: Bacterial small subunit ribosomal RNA
Source: RNAcentral
UACAGAGGGGGCAAGCGUUAUUCGGAAUUAUUGGGCGUAAAGGGCGCGUAGGCGGCGAUUCAAGUGACGGGUGAAAUCCCUCGGCUUAACCGAGGAACUGCCUGUCAGACUGGAUUGCUUGAGGCCGGGAGAGGCGAGUGGAAUUCCCAGUGUAGCGGUGAAAUGCGUAGAUAUUGGGAGGAACACCAGUGGCGAAGGCGGCUCGCUGGAUCGGUUCUGACGCUGAGGCGCGAAAGCGUGGGGAGCAAACAGG